This 1346-nucleotide ribosomal RNA is filed under the name uncultured bacterium. RNAcentral describes it as "partial 16S ribosomal RNA". It matches the Rfam family "Bacterial small subunit ribosomal RNA", at positions 28 to 1381 of the family's 1533-position model. The record is from RNAcentral.
GACGAACGCUGGCGGCGUGCUUAACACAUGCAAGUCGAACGGAAAGGCCCUGCUUUUGUGGGGUGCUCGAGUGGCGAACGAGUGAGUAACACGUGAGUAACCUGCCCUUGACUUUGGGAUAACUUCAGGAAACUGGGGCUAAUACCGGAUAGGAGCUCCUGCUGCAUGGUGGGGGUUGGAAAGUUUCGGCGGUUGGGGAUGGACUCGCGGCUUAUCAGCUUGUUGGUGGGGUAGUGGCUUACCAAGGCUUUGACGGGUAGCCGGCCUGAGAGGGUGACCGGCCACAUUGGGACUGAGAUACGGCCCAGACUCCUACGGGAGGCAGCAGUGGGGAAUAUUGCACAAUGGGCGGAAGCCUGAUGCAGCAACGCCGCGUGCGGGAUGACGGCCUUCGGGUUGUAAACCGCUUUCGCCUGUGACGAAGCGUGAGUGACGGUAAUGGGUAAAGAAGCACCGGCUAACUACGUGCCAGCAGCCGCGGUGAUACGUAGGGUGCGAGCGUUGUCCGGAUUUAUUGGGCGUAAAGGGCUCGUAGGUGGUUGAUCGCGUCGGAAGUGUAAUCUUGGGGCUUAACCCUGAGCGUGCUUUCGAUACGGGUUGACUUGAGGAAGGUAGGGGAGAAUGGAAUUCCUGGUGGAGCGGUGGAAUGCGCAGAUAUCAGGAGGAACACCAGUGGCGAAGGCGGUUCUCUGGGCCUUUCCUGACGCUGAGGAGCGAAAGCGUGGGGAGCGAACAGGCUUAGAUACCCUGGUAGUCCACGCUGUAAACGGUGGGUACUAGGUGUGGGGUCCAUUCCACGGGUUCCGUGCCGUAGCUAACGCUUUAAGUACCCCGCCUGGGGAGUACGGCCGCAAGGCUAAAACUCAAAGGAAUUGACGGGGCCCCGCACAAGCGGCGGAGCAUGCGGAUUAAUUCGAUGCAACGCGUAGAACCGUACCUGGGUUUGACAUGGAUCGGGAGUGCUCAGAGAUGGGUGUGCCUCUUUUGGGGUCGGUUCACAGGUGGUGCAUGGCUGUCGUCAGCUCGUGUCGUGAGAUGUUGGGUUAAGUCCCGCAACGAGCGCAACCCUUGUUCACUGUUGCCAGCACGUUAUGGUGGGGACUCAGUGGAGACCGCCGGGGUCAACUCGGAGGAAGGUGGGGAUGACGUCAAGUCAUCAUGCCCCUUAUGUCCAGGGCUUCACGCAUGCUACAAUGGCUGGUACAGAGAGUGGCGAGCCUGUGAGGGUGAGCGAAUCUCGGAAAGCCGGUCUCAGUUCGGAUUGGGGUCUGCAACUCGACCUCAUGAAGUCGGAGUCGCUAGUAAUCGCAGAUCAGCAACGCUGCGGUGAAUACGUUCCCGGGGCU